This 339-nucleotide ribosomal RNA is filed under the name uncultured bacterium. RNAcentral's name for it is "bacterial SSU rRNA". It matches the Rfam family "Bacterial small subunit ribosomal RNA", at positions 188 to 507 of the family's 1533-position model. The record is from RNAcentral.
GACCUGGAGGGUAGAAAGGCGGGGGAACCGAAAGGCCUCGCGCGAUGGGAGCGGCCGAUGCCGGAUUAGCUAGUUGGUAGGGUAAAGGCCUACCAAGGCGACGAUCCGUAGCUGGUCUGAGAGGACGACCAGCCACACUGGAACUGAGACACGGUCCAGACUCCUACGGGAGGCAGCAGUGGGGAAUUUUGGACAAUGGGCGAAAGCCUGAUCCAGCCAUUCCGCGUGAGUGAAGAAGGCCUUCGGGUUGUAAAGCUCUUUCGGCAGGAACGAAACGGUGAAGGCUAAUAACCUUUACUAAUGACGGUACCUGAAGAAGAAGCACCGGCUAACUACGUG